This 465-nucleotide ribosomal RNA is filed under the name Vreelandella stevensii. RNAcentral's name for it is "partial 16S ribosomal RNA". It matches the Rfam family "Bacterial small subunit ribosomal RNA", at positions 338 to 795 of the family's 1533-position model. The record is from RNAcentral. Lineage: Bacteria; Pseudomonadati; Pseudomonadota; Gammaproteobacteria; Oceanospirillales; Halomonadaceae.
CCUACGGGGGGCAGCAGUGGGGAAUAUUGGACAAUGGGGGCAACCCUGAUCCAGCCAUGCCGCGUGUGUGAAGAAGGCCCUCGGGUUGUAAAGCACUUUCAGUGAGGAAGAACGCCUGGUGGUUAAUACCCAUCAGGAAAGACAUCACUCACAGAAGAAGCACCGGCUAACUCCGUGCCAGCAGCCGCGGUAAUACGGAGGGUGCGAGCGUUAAUCGGAAUUACUGGGCGUAAAGCGCGCGUAGGUGGCUUGAUAAGCCGGUUGUGAAAGCCCCGGGCUCAACCUGGGAACGGCAUCCGGAACUGUCAAGCUAGAGUGCAGGAGAGGAAGGUAGAAUUCCCGGUGUAGCGGUGAAAUGCGUAGAGAUCGGAAGGAAUACCAGUGGCGUAGGCGGCCUUCUGGACUGACACUGACACUGAGGUGCGAAAGCGUGGGUAGCAAACAGGAUUAGAUACCCUUGUAGUC